Long non-coding RNA from Galleria mellonella (greater wax moth), 497 nucleotides. RefSeq lists it as uncharacterized. The transcript has 3 exons. NCBI's taxonomy places the organism in Eukaryota, Metazoa, Arthropoda, Insecta, Lepidoptera, Pyralidae. The record is from RefSeq and is a predicted model, not a curated record.
UUAUAUUGGAAUAUACUAUUAAGUUGUUUAUUGACAUCUUUGUAAAUGAAAUAUCAGUGUCAUAGGCCAACUGUCAUAUUUUCUAUAAACAGAUUUAUAUUCCAUUCCAUUUUAGAAGUUGUUUAACUACGCUAGUAUUCAUCGUUGUCCAAUAUGAAGGUAAUACAAGUGUUCUUUGUCCUCGUGGUCACACUGACAGCACUAGUUGAAGUAUUCGGCGAAGGAUUUGAUGACCAGGGUUACAUUCAGCUAUGUGGCCGGCAAUUAGCAACCAUGUGUAUUUUAACUAUGAAUUCUGAACAAAGCCACGAGGAACCUGAUAUUUAUCUUACACAAAAGCGAUCUCUAUCGCCCCGCAACAAGCGUUCACUGCUCGAAGAAUGUUGUCAUAAUAAAUGCACCAAGUCGGUCUUUGCUCAGUAUUGCCAUUAUUAAAUAUUAUUAAGUAUCACUAAUAUAUACUUAAAGAUUAAUUAAAUAUAAUUUUUUUAGUGUAA